GUUUCCUCUGUGAAUAGAUUGAUUCUUUCUCUCAAUCUACUAAUACUUUGUACAUCAUCAGUUUAUAUUAAAUUUUUCUAACUCCUUAACACUCUGCAUUACAUUAUCUUUGCUGUAGUAUCAGCAUUUUUAUAUAUUGUGCGGUACUUUUAAAUCAAAAGUGCUGCCGCAAAUUGUUGCACGCACGUGGUCGAAAGCCGGUUUCUGCAAUGGAAGCCCCUCAGCUGCCGCAAUUAGUUGCACACACGUGGUCGGAGGCCGGUUUAUGCCAUGGAAGACACUCAGUUGCAGGACUCGCGGGCAGGCCAAGGCUAAGGAAUUCAAUUUGAUAAACUAAGUAAUGAGCUUCACUGAGAUCCGUUGAAAUUGGCAGUUUUAUAGGCGAUCAUGAGCCUGCUUUGCUGCAAAUGAAACAAGAUGUUCGCAUUGAUGAAGGAGUUUCUUCAAUGAGGCCUCAGUCCGUCGGACAAAAGGAUUCUCGUUAGUGUAUCUAUGACGGAAGGAAGUGUCGCGAUGAAGGUUCUACUUCAAGUCUGCAUCAAGUUGCCGGAUAUUCAUUGUUGAUCUUCGCUUUAAUGGACGAAUCCAAAGCUUUGAGCUUUGACUGCUUUCCUGUCGAGUUGUAGCAAUCGGAUUAAACCUUUGCAAGGUCACUUUCUGCUUCCAAUUGUUGCUGUUUACGACAUCCAGAGAAACUCCGCAGAGAGAUGCGCUGUGAACGGACCACGAUUAUAAAAUUAAUUUAUAUAGUUUAAAAUUCUGCUGAAUAAAAAGAAUGAAACCAAA
Drosophila novamexicana is the source of this 786-nucleotide long non-coding RNA. RefSeq lists it as uncharacterized. The transcript has 12 exons. Lineage: Eukaryota; Metazoa; Arthropoda; Insecta; Diptera; Drosophilidae. The record is from RefSeq and is a predicted model, not a curated record.